UGUGUGCAGCCACUCACCUUG
Molecule: microRNA, 21 nt
Filed under: Eptesicus fuscus (big brown bat)
Lineage: Eukaryota; Metazoa; Chordata; Mammalia; Chiroptera; Vespertilionidae
Description: efu-miR-9258
Source: miRBase by way of RNAcentral